AUCCACCUCCUCCAUACCUGUGUUAUCCCCUAAAACCAGGGAAGAGACGGAAGGAUUUCAAGAGCGAAAGGAUGCAGAGGAAAGAGCUAUACCUCCCACCAUGAACCAUGGGAAAUGCACAGGAGACUACUCUUCAUUCCAACCUGAAAAGCUCCAGUUCCUGACAUCAUCAGCAGGGUGUUCAUCAGAACCUGUAUUGUUCAUGUAGCUCCGCCCUAACGGAGAUCUAUAAAACCUCCUAAAGUGAAGGAGGCAACUUCAGCAUAUUGGUCCUGACAGACUAUUGCAAGAGCUUUGUUCAUUCAAAGUGUGCCAUUGUAAACAAAGAGAUCACACCAUGGAUUUGUACUUUCCAUUCUGGGACAUAUGCAUGUAAAAAGCCAAGUGACUGGAAUGGCAAUUCCAAAAUGUUGAUUUUAGUGGUUAAUACGUUUUUUUGAAUUUCUCUGUGUGCUUGGGGAUAUUGACAUAUGG
This is a long non-coding RNA of Esox lucius (northern pike), 474 nucleotides long. RefSeq lists it as uncharacterized. The transcript has 2 exons. The record is from RefSeq and is a predicted model, not a curated record. Lineage: Eukaryota; Metazoa; Chordata; Actinopteri; Esociformes; Esocidae.